UCUUCCGUUCUGAGAGAGAGAGAGAGAUAUACAGAAGCGGUGGUUGAGAUUCUUAACGUUAGAUCGUUCUUCCACCUCAAAGCGAUCCAAGAGGACAGGCCACAGUUAGACGAGUAGACAGACAGAAAGACAGACAAGAAGACAGAUAGAGAGACAGAUAAAGACUUGAUUGAUAAGCCACCACAAACUAGAAUUUUGUGAACUGACUUUCUGUAUAGGCUUUCAUACAACAUAGCAAAAGUAUAACAACAAAAACCAGAAAGGAAGAGACGACCAUGAGAUAGUGGAGGAACAAGAGAAAAAAAGAGAGAAAAAAGAACAAAAACAUUAAAGAUAUAACACAAAACAAGACAAG
This 355-nucleotide long non-coding RNA is filed under the name Octopus sinensis (East Asian common octopus). Its description in RNAcentral is "uncharacterized LOC118766286, transcript variant X2". The record is from RNAcentral. Lineage: Eukaryota; Metazoa; Mollusca; Cephalopoda; Octopoda; Octopodidae.